CCAUAGGCAAAUUUACAGCUUGCCACCUUGUAUUCGGCCACCUAACC
Molecule: transfer RNA, 47 nt
Filed under: Furcifer labordi
Lineage: Eukaryota; Metazoa; Chordata; Lepidosauria; Squamata; Chamaeleonidae
Description: tRNA-Tyr
Source: RNAcentral